Molecule: unclassified non-coding RNA, 266 nt
Filed under: Hevea brasiliensis (rubber tree)
Lineage: Eukaryota; Viridiplantae; Streptophyta; Magnoliopsida; Malpighiales; Euphorbiaceae
Source: RNAcentral
GAGGAGGAGGAGGAGGAAGAGGAGAUUUUGCUGACAGUUUUCGCCAUGCUCAGUUUCAAUAUUACAAUUAUUGAAAGUUGGUGAAAAUUUUCCCGAGAGACUGUUAGAGGGAAAUACAAUAUACUGUGUAUUGGGACUCACAAGUAAUAUAGGUGGAUCCAUAUGUUUGUGUCUUGAUAUCCAUUUCAGAGUAAAUGUAAAUAAUGUAUAUAUAAGAUCAGUAAGUCAUCAAAAUGUUUAUGUUAAAAUUUAUUACCAAAACAAAA